This 733-nucleotide long non-coding RNA is filed under the name Homo sapiens (human). Its description in RNAcentral is "HSALNT0126212". Lineage: Eukaryota; Metazoa; Chordata; Mammalia; Primates; Hominidae. The record is from RNAcentral.
GGAAAGAAUUUCAGAGCCUCCCAUGUGGAGGCUCAGGAAACCCUGAGCUUGGGGUUUCACAUAGAAUAAGUAGUCGUCUAACAGUGAGGGUAGGAGAGAACGCACCCAUUUCACACAGCAGCACACUGAGGCACAGGGCUCAGUCCCUGGCCAAGGGCACAUGGUAGCAGGUGGUGGCACCUGGUCAAAGGCAAGUCUGGGCUGGGUGUGGUGGCUCACGCCUGUAAUCCCAUAACUUUGGGAGGCAGAGGAAGGCGGAUCACGAGGUCAGGAGUUCGAGACUAGCCUGGCCAAUAUGGUGAAACCCCGUCUCUACUAAAAAUACAAAAAUUAGCCAGGUGUAGCGGCGCGUGCCUGUAGUCCCAGCUACUUGGGAGGCUGAGGCAAAAGAAUCACUUGAACCCAGGAGGUGGAAGUUGCAGUGAGCCAACAUCGUGCCACUGCACUCCAGCCUGGGUGACAGAGCAAGACUCCAUCUCUAAAUAAAUAAAAUAAAUAAAUAGCAAGUCUGUGAGCCUCCGAAGACGGGUUUUAAUUCUUGCUCUGUGGGGUUAGCACCCCUCUUGUGGCUCCAUUUUCUUGUCCUUGGAGCCCAGUGCCCAUCUGUCACUUUGGUUGUGGACCUGGGCUUCUGCCUGGGGUGGCACUGGGGCCACAGACAAGCCUCCCUUCCUCCCGGCUGCCUCGCCCACACUGCUGAACCUACAGCAGGAUAACAGUCUCCAGGUCUGUG